Long non-coding RNA from Oncorhynchus tshawytscha (Chinook salmon), 1305 nucleotides. The record is from Ensembl. Lineage: Eukaryota; Metazoa; Chordata; Actinopteri; Salmoniformes; Salmonidae.
AUAACUGAGAAGGAGAGAAAAUAACUGAGGAGGAGAGACAAUAACUGAAGAGGAGAGAAAAUAACUGAGAAGGAGAGAAAAUAACUGAGGAGGAGAGACAAUAACUGAAGAGGAGAGAAAAUAACUGAGGAGGAGAGAAAAUAACUAAGGCGGAGAGAAAAUAACUGAGGAGGAGAGAAAAUAACUAAGGCGGAAAGAAAAUAACUGAGGAGGAGAGAAAAUAACUGGGGAGGAGAUAAAAUAACUAUGGUGCAGAGAAAAUAACUGAGGAGGAGAGGAAAUAACUGAGGAGGAGUGGAAAUAACUGAGGAGGAGAGAAAAUAACUGAGAGAGAGAAAAUAACUGAAGAGCAGAGAAAAUAACUGGGGAGGAGAGAAAAUAACUAAGGUGGAGAGAAAAUAACUGAGGAGGGGAGAAAAUAAAUGAGGAGGAGAGAAAUUAACAGAGGAGAGAAAAUAACUGAGGAGGAGAGAAAAUAACUGAGAGGAGAGAAAAUAACAGAGGAGAGAAAAUAAAUGAGGAGGAGAGAAAAUAACCGAGGAGGAGAGAAAAUAACUGAGGAGGAGAGAAAAUAAAUGAAGAGUAGAAAAAAUUAACUGAGGAGGAGAGAAAAUAACCGAGGAGGAGAGAAAAUAACUGAAGAGUAGAAAAAAAUAAAUGAAGAGGAGAGAAAAUAACCGAGGAGGAGAGACAAUAACCAAGGAGGAGAGAAAAUAACUGAGGAGGAGAGAAAAUAACUGAGGAGGAGAGAAAAUAACUCGGGAGGAGAGAAAAUAACCGAGGAGAGAAAAUACGUGAGGAGGACAGAAAAUAACCGAGGAGGAGAGAAAAUAACCAAGGAGGAGAGAAAAUAAAUGAGGAGGAGAGAAAAUAACCCGGGAGGAGAGAAAAUAACCGAGGAGAGAAAAUAACCGAGGAGGAGAUAAAAUAACGGAGGAGAAGAGAAAAUAACCGAGGAGGAGAGAAAAUAACCGAGAUAGAGAGAAAAUAACCGAGGAGGAGAGAAAAUAACUGAGGAGGGGAGAAAAUAAAUGAGGAGGAUUGAAAAUAACGGAGGAGUGAAAAUAACCAAGGAGGAGAGAAAAUAACCGAGAUAGAGAGAAAAUAACCGAGGAGGAGAGAAAAUAACCGAGGAGGAGAGAAAAUAACUGAAGAGGAGAGAAAAUAACUGGAGGAGAGAAAAUAACUGAGGCGGGGAGAAAAUAACUAAAGAGUAGAAAAAAAUAAAUGAAGAGGAGAGAAAAUAACCGAGGAGGAGAGACAAUAACCAAGGAGGAGAGAAAAUAAAUGAGGAGGAGAGAAAAU